UACGGGAGGCAGCAGUGGGGAAUAUUGCACAAUGGGCGCAAGCCUGAUGCAGCCAUGCCGCGUGUAUGAAGAAGGCCUUCGGGGUUGUAAAGUACUUUCAGUCGUGAGGAAGGUGUUAAGGUUAAUAACCUUAGCAAUUGACGUUAGCGACAGAAGAAGCACCGGCUAACUCCGUGCCAGCAGCCGCGGUAAUACGGAGGGUGCGAGCGUUAAUCGGAAUUACUGGGCGUAAAGGGCACGCAGGCGGUUAAUUAAGUUGGAUGUGAAAUCCCCGGGCUUAACCUGGGAAUGGCAUUCAAGACUGGUUAGCUAGAGUCUUGUAGAGGGGGUAGAAUUCCAUGUGUAGCGGUGAAAUGCGUAGAGAUGUGGAGGAAUACCGGUGGCGAAGGCGGCCCCUGGACAAAGACUGACGCUCAUGUGCGAAAGCGUGGGGAGCGAAACAGGGAUUAGAUACC
This 455-nucleotide ribosomal RNA is filed under the name uncultured bacterium. RNAcentral's name for it is "bacterial SSU rRNA". It matches the Rfam family "Bacterial small subunit ribosomal RNA", at positions 340 to 786 of the family's 1533-position model. The record is from RNAcentral.